CAUAGCCACGGUAAUACGGAGGGAGCUAGCGUUGUUCGGAAUUACUGGGCGUAAAGCGCGCGUAGGCGGUUACUCAAGUCAGAGGUGAAAGCCCGGGGCUCAACCCCGGAACUGCCUUUGAAACUAGGUGACUAGAAUCUUGGAGAGGUCAGUGGAAUUCCGAGUGUAGAGGUGAAAUUCGUAGAUAUUCGGAAGAACACCAGUGGCGAAGGCGACUGACUGGACAAGUAUUGACGCUGAGGUGCGAAAGCGUGGGGAGCAAACAGGAUUAGAUACCCGUGUAGUCCCUGUCUCUUAUACC
RNAcentral lists this ribosomal RNA (301 nucleotides) under uncultured bacterium. RNAcentral's name for it is "partial 16S ribosomal RNA". It matches the Rfam family "Bacterial small subunit ribosomal RNA", at positions 510 to 808 of the family's 1533-position model. The record is from RNAcentral.